CACAGCGUGUUCCUCUUCCGAUGAAGGGGAGUUAUACUAGGAUGAUAUAUCCGCUUGUGGGAUCUGAGUCAAAGUCACACAUAUACACAUACUGACGGCCGAAAGUGUAAUACGCUGUAAGAGAGAGCUGAGUAGGUUGAUUGAUCUGGCGAGUUUUACCGGACUUUUUAUUAUUGGGGAUUUCUCCGGCAGUACGGCGCUGACAUACUGUAUUAUGGUAUUCGGGAAUACAUGUGCCACUUUCGCCGACGUUGUGAAUUGCCGGGGUAAAUGUGACCGGAAACCGUUUUCGAUGGUUUAAGCAUCAGUGACUCUGGGAUAUGCAGUGCCGGAGAAGAACCGAAUUUAAACUGCGCUAUGAUAUUGACCUAUGAUACCCCAAUUGUGGAUGAAUAAGCGAUUUCGGCCACUACGCGCUGCUUAUUAUGGACGGAAAUUUUUGGUCUAGUUUUUAAACAAUCUGCCGCAUCCAUCUGGUGGUUUUGCGUGCGUCUGGAUACAUUCCGCUGAAUGUUUAUAUUUCGCGUCAAGACAUCCUUAUUCCCUCGAUGGCAUGUGUGUUUUUUCCUCUUCCUUGGAAGAAAGAAUCCACAGCUCAGUAGACCGGAAAUAUCAACUCUAGAACAGAUCAACCGCACACGCAGGAG
Molecule: long non-coding RNA, 647 nt
Organism: Paramacrobiotus metropolitanus
Lineage: Eukaryota; Metazoa; Tardigrada; Eutardigrada; Parachela; Macrobiotidae
Exons: 3
Source: RefSeq, a predicted model, not a curated record